UAGCCAGGUUGCAAAUUAAAUCGC
RNAcentral lists this non-coding RNA (24 nucleotides) under Arabidopsis thaliana (thale cress). The record is from RNAcentral. Lineage: Eukaryota; Viridiplantae; Streptophyta; Magnoliopsida; Brassicales; Brassicaceae.